UCAGCAAGGCCGCGGUAAUACAUAGGGUGCAAGCGUUGUCCGGAAUUAUUGGGCGUAAAGAGCUCGUAGGUCGUUUGUCGCGUCGAUUGUGAAAAUCUGAGGCUCAACCUCAGACCUGCAGUCGAUACGGGCAAACUAGAGUGUGGUAGGGGAGACUGGAAUUCCUGGUGUAGCGGUGGAAUGCGCAGAUAUCAGGAGGAACACCAAUGGCGAAGGCAGGUCUCUGGGCCAUAACUGACACUGAGGAGCGAAAGUGCGGGGAGCGAACAGGAUUAGAUACCCUGGUAGUCCGCACCGUAAACGGUGGGCACUAGUUGUGAACCUUCCACGGUUUCCGCGACGCAGCAAACGCAUUAAGUGCCCCGCCUGGGGAGUACGAUCGCAAGAUUAAAACUCAAAGGA
This 402-nucleotide ribosomal RNA is filed under the name uncultured bacterium. Its description in RNAcentral is "bacterial SSU rRNA". It matches the Rfam family "Bacterial small subunit ribosomal RNA", at positions 508 to 908 of the family's 1533-position model. The record is from RNAcentral.